GACGAACGCUGGCGGCGUGCUUAACACAUGCAAGUCGAGCGAGGCCCCUCCUUCGGGAGGGUGUCCUAGCGGCGAACGGGUGAGUAACACGUGGGCAACCUGCCCUCAGCUCUGGGAUAACUCCGGGAAACCGGGGCUAAUACCGGAUACGACCUCCACGGGCAUCUGCGGAGGUGGAAAGUUUUUCGGCUGAGGAUGGGCCCGCGGCCUAUCAGCUAGUUGGUGGGGUAGUGGCCCACCAAGGCGACGACGGGUAGCCGGCCUGAGAGGGCGACCGGCCACACUGGGACUGAGACACGGCCCAGACUCCUACGGGAGGCAGCAGUGGGGAAUAUUGCGCAAUGGGCGAAAGCCUGACGCAGCGACGCCGCGUGAGGGACGAAGGCCUUUGGGUUGUAAACCUCUUUCAGCAGGGACGAAGCGAAAGUGACGGUACCUGCAGAAGAAGCACCGGCCAACUACGUG
Molecule: ribosomal RNA, 465 nt
Filed under: uncultured bacterium
Lineage: Bacteria
Description: partial 16S ribosomal RNA
Rfam family: Bacterial small subunit ribosomal RNA
Source: RNAcentral